This is a regulatory RNA element of Microvirga vignae, 58 nucleotides long. It matches the Rfam family "terC RNA". NCBI's taxonomy places the organism in Bacteria, Pseudomonadati, Pseudomonadota, Alphaproteobacteria, Hyphomicrobiales, Methylobacteriaceae. The record is from Rfam.
UAGCCAGGCCGGGCCCCUCUGGUCGCUCUCCUUUGAGCGGCGAUGUCGGACUGGAUGA